GUACUUUGGCAGCACCUAUACUAAAACUAGAACAGUACAGAGAAUAUAGGCAUGGCUGCUGUGCAAGGAUAACACAAUUAAUGAAGAAAUCCUUGGAACAUCU
Molecule: small nuclear RNA, 103 nt
Organism: Cuculus canorus (common cuckoo)
Lineage: Eukaryota; Metazoa; Chordata; Aves; Cuculiformes; Cuculidae
Source: Rfam